UUGGGUUAUGCCUUAGUACGGCGAGUGAGCGGCACAGCUCAAAUUUGAAAGCUGGCUCCUUUGGAGUCCGCGUUGUUUUUUGAAGAGGAUGAUUCGGCAAGGGCUCCCGCCUAAGUCUCCUGGAACGGAGCGUCAUAGAGGGUGAGAAUCCCGUAUGCGGUGGGCUGCCUAAGCCAUGUGAAUCUCCUUCGACGAGUCGAGUUGUUUGGGAAUGCAGCUCUAAAUGGGAGGUAAAUUUCUUCUAAAGCUAAAUACCGGCCAGAGACCGAUAGCGCACAAGUAUAGUGAUCGAAAGAUGAAAAGCACUUUGGAAAGAGAGUUAAAAAGUACGUGAAAUUGUUGAAAGGGAAGCGCUUGCACCCGGACUUGUCCGCUCUUGCUCAGCCGGCCUCCUGACCGGUGUACUCUUCUGGGCCCAGGCCAGCAUCAGUUCGGGCGGAAGGAUAAAGACCUCGGGAAUGCUCCUCCUCUCGGGGAGUGUUAUAGCCCGAGCUGGAAUGCGGCCAGCCUGGACUGACGAUCUCGCUUCGGGUAGGAUGCUGGAUUAAUGGCUGUAACCGGCCCAUCUACAAACACGAACCA
RNAcentral lists this ribosomal RNA (582 nucleotides) under Botryosphaeria dothidea. RNAcentral describes it as "partial large subunit ribosomal RNA". It matches the Rfam family "Eukaryotic large subunit ribosomal RNA", at positions 69 to 668 of the family's 3401-position model. Lineage: Eukaryota; Fungi; Ascomycota; Dothideomycetes; Botryosphaeriales; Botryosphaeriaceae. The record is from RNAcentral.